ACGUAGGGUGCGAGCGUUGUCCGGAAUUACUGGGCGUAAAGAGCUCGUAGGCGGUUUGUCACGUCGUCUGUGAAAUCCUAGGGCUUAACCCUGGACGUGCAGGCGAUACGGGCUGACUUGAGUACUACAGGGGAGACUGGAAUUUCUGGUGUAGCGGUGGAAUGCACAGAUAUCAGGAAGAACACCGAUGGCGAAGGCAGGUCUCUGGGUAGUAACUGACGCUGAGGAGCGAAAGCAUGGGUAGCGAACAGG
This 252-nucleotide ribosomal RNA is filed under the name uncultured bacterium. RNAcentral's name for it is "partial 16S ribosomal RNA". It matches the Rfam family "Bacterial small subunit ribosomal RNA", at positions 525 to 776 of the family's 1533-position model. The record is from RNAcentral.